AAGCAGUACACACAAACAUAGACAGGUGCACACACACCUCUCUCUCGUCUCCUGCGCGCUGCUGCUUCCUUUUUCCCCCUAGUUCCCUUUCCCUCCUGAUCCCUGUAGCCGGCUACACUUUAGCUUUCCCGUGCAUGUCUACUUCUCUCUGUUCUCUGUCGUCGACUUCCACACGCACAUACGUCUUUCGUUUUUUUUCUUUCCUUUUCCUGGUUUCUUUCUCUGUAACCCUCGAAAACGACUCUGGGCGCUUCCUUUGCUUACGCCUCCUUGUGGCGCUCUCCCCCCUGUUGGGGUGCUGCCCGCCCCUCUCCAUCCACUCUCCCGUGCGUUCGUGUUGCCGCUACGUUUGUGCCUGCUUGUCUGAAAGGGUCUUGACUGUCUUUCUGCGGUCACGUUUGUGCGUACGUGACGGCAGUGAAGGCGGUGCGUCGUCUGUCGUUGCUGUACAAAGGUCUGCCCCCCCACACACACACACACAUCCGCUCGUCCGCUCGUCUUGUGCGCACUAAAAAGAAGAUACCUUCGCCUGUGUCUGUGCCUGUCUGUCCGUGUCUUUCAGCGCCCUCUACUGACGUCAUUCUUUUCCACCACACACCCCUCUCUUGCCUCUUUCCCCUGUGGUGGUGGUCUGUUACUCAUUUUCGUCGGGCAGACUCCUGCACGCCUCUUCGCUCCCUUGUUGUUGUCACACCCUUGCGGUGGCGAACGCGCAGCAGCCUUGCGUAGCCCUCUCUCUCUCCUUCCUGGGAUUGUAUGGGCGGCUGAUGUGAAUGAGCAGGAGGGUUUUCGCCUCUCUCUUCCUCUUUUGUUUUGUAUGUUUCCGCAUCCCUGAAUAUCCACAAGCACUUUAAUGCAGCAGAUGCACUGGACCGCGGCGCGCGGCCAGCUGUCUGGUCCUCAACACUCGCAAUACCCUUCACCGCAGGCAUCAUCCACCCACGCUAGUCAGAAGCAGCAGCAGCAGCAGCACUUGCAUCAGAAUGGGCCUCCGGGGCUGACCGCGGCCGGCAUGAGCGGCGGCAGUGCAGGGGUGAAUAUUUCUUCAGGUCCCGCCGCCGGCGCGUCUGCUGUUCGCGCCAACGUCAACAGCAACGCCUUUCAUAGCCCCCGCUUUUCGCACCCCAUGGGCCCGCUACCGCCCGCUCAGAAUCCGCAGCAGCAGGUCUUUUCCGUUUCACAGCAGCCUCCUGGUGCGCAGCUGCAGCAGCAACAGCGCUCCCCUCGAUCACUGUCAGGUCCGACUCCCAAUAACGUCGUGAGUGGUAAUAGAAGUGGCCUCGAGACGAGCGCGGCGCUCGCCGGGCGCGAGGCGCCGGCCAUCUCAGGCGCCAACUCCGCCGCCGCCCACACAAGCUCUGCCGCAGUCGGAGUGUUCUUAAGCGGUACGCGCACGAACUUCACCGACUUCGGAGCGGCAGCAGCGUACGGACUCGGUGCCGGUGGCGUUGGCUCGCCGAGCGGGCCCACCGCCAACGCCGGCAGCAUCCUCGCAGAUGCAAAUGAUGAGGAGGUGAACCAGCUGUUACGGGAGCUAGAGUUCUCAGUGGACAGCCCUCACGCGUUGGCAGUGCUGCGAGACGCCGUGGACGCCAUCGAAGCACGGGCGCUGGCCAACUUUGACCCUCUGUCGCGAGACACGUUCCUGGAGCAGCGCAUCCGCGAUGUCCUGACGGAGCUGUCGCGAACGUCGAACGAGCGCUCCCUGCUGCUCGCCGUGAGUCUCAUAGAGGCGUUGAUCCCGAUCGCCUACACCAGUCCUCACUCCAAGUACACACGCCUGUGCCGCAGUCUCUCGGUGCUGCGGCAGAGCGGGAAUGAGAAGGCCGCCAGGGAGGCACAGCGGGUGUACAAGCUGCUGCUGGAGGCGGAUGCGCGCUACCCAGGGCCGGAGUCGCCGCUGAAGGCGUUUGUGCAGAAGGAGCUCCGCGAAAAUUGCGAGCAGGCGCUCCUGCAACUCCACGGUCGCGUGCAGCAGGCAAAAGCGGCCUUUCCGGCGCAGUUCUUUUCCGUCAUGUUGGGCUGCGCCGCCACUGCGGAAGUGAACCCGCGCUACAUCUCUGGCAAAACUCGUGCGCAGGCGAUUCAACUCGGCACGAUGCUCACAGGCAGCCCCGAUCCGCUGCUCCGCAAGGCUGCCUACGAGUGCCUCGUCGCCAUCUUUCGAAACACGAGCAACAUGCGACCCAACGAGCUGGUUCUGGAGAGCCGCCGCCUCUGCGAUGAGUGCAUGCGAACACUGAACGCUAGUCAGCACAACGAGGGCCACGUUGUAUCGGCUCUGAAGGCGCUGCACGCCCUCCUCAGCAGUCGCGGGCUCUCGGCGAUCGACAGACAGGUGAUACCGCAGCUGUGCGUGCUCGUCACGGAGCAGCACCGGGUGUCCAAGUCGCUACUGGUGCGCAGCGCAGUGUGCGACCUUGUGCCCAUCAUUGCGCCGGUCGACAUUGCGUCUAUGCCGCGCCGCACCACGUACUGCGCUAUCAUCAUGGAGCCAGUGAAGAACGUGCGCGAUGAGCGCUUCAAGGCGCACGAGCUGCAUAAUGUGGCUUCCUUUGUCCGCAGUGUCGGGUAUCGCGUGCUUGACGCUACAAAUCGCACAAACUUGGAGUCGAUCCUGCACCGCUACAUCUCCCGUCCGGAGACGCAGGAGGCUUGCUGGUCCAUCAUGGCUGCCAUCUGCGCAUCCUCGGCGUCGGCCAGCGGAGGCGCGGCAUCGGUGGCGCCCAUGGGUGGACGCCGCGUAGACUACGUCAGUACAUCUACCACACUCCCGAGCCCCACAACGCAGAACACCCAUCAGGACCUCUCCUUGACGCCCUCCAUGGUUGAGGGGCGCAAGGCCUCGCAGCACUCCAGCCGCGAAAACUUAGCAACCUCGCCGUCGGCGCUUCAGCGGCACUUCUCGUACCACCACGGUGACGACAACGACGAUCAGGUCAGCGUUCCACUUGUCUCCGUUAGGACCACCUCACAACGGUCGGCAGGCACGUGCUCCCUCAGCGCCUCCCCUACCUCGACGAACGCACCAGCCUUCAACCUCUCCACCUUCAGCGUACACCACACUGUGACCAUCGACGACGUUGUCCUGCGCUGCCUGCCGUAUCUCGCCCACGCCAUCCUGACCCAGUCACUAGUAGACUCCCUUCGUGUAAUACAAGCCUCGUGCCCGCAGUUGCGCGCUGAUGUGCAGACGGCUCUGGACAAGCUGGUGGAUAGCGUGCUGAAGGAGCCUUUCGCGCCGUCCGCGACGGCGGCGGCUGUGACACUGCCCCAGUAUUUUUCCCAGCUGCCAAGCUCCACGGCGCAGCAGCAGCAGCAGCAAGCCCACUCCCUUCAUAGCCGUGACGGUGGCGAUGGGAGCGCCGGUGGCUUUUCGAGCGCAGCAAUGAACAGUGCCUCCCGCACCGCUGGGUCUCACCCGCUCAGCCCCGCUAGUGGCCCGGAGCCGGUCAUGACGCUAUCUCGUCCGGGGACAUGCAGCACGCCGAUCGGUGUCGGGGCGGUGGGGCGGCUCACACAGUACUUUCGGCCGAGCGAGAGCGCGGCAAUUCACCGAGGCGAGGGCAGCACGAGCAGCCCGACCCCGACCUCCCCGGUGGGAAUGCGCAACACCUCUGGCCCUUUACCCUCGGGGAACAACAGCUUCCUGGGCCCCGACAGCGCCUACACCGUCGGUGGCGGCGACUCGAACAGCGGAGCUCCGUACGGUGCUGGCGGACCACUUCGCUGCUCCCCGCUCUCCACGUCGAUGAGCGCGCCCUUCAGUCCCGUGACGCACAUGGCGGCAGGUGGCAGCGGUGCAGGUGGUGGAAACGCCGCAGCAGCCCCGCCGUCGGUGCUCAAGAACGACUUGACGGUGGCGCUGAAGGUGUUCACGGAGCGGCCCCUAACGUCGGUGCAGCACCUGCAUGAUCUUAAGAACUCGGUGAUCGCCUUCCAGCGUCACGAGGAUCCGCUCGUGCGGCAGCAGAGCAGCGAGACGAUCAUUUCGAGCUUGCGGCAGUGGAUAGCCUACGCAAAGGAGCACAAAACCUCAACCUACUCCACACGCGUGACAGAGAUAUUGGAGGCGUACAUGAAGAACGUCCUGAUGGAGGUCGACCGCCAGUGCGGGUUGUACGAGAUUACGCUGCUGGCAAACGCCACGAACCUGCGCGCCUUUUUAUCAGAGCAGCGCAUCCUAUCCUCGCUGCUGAGUUUCCUGAACAGCACAGCGCUGGUACGCGAGAAAACGGUGGAGCUUCUCGUCGCCAUCACGCAGGACUCCAAGCCCUCCCCCUCUGUCGCGGCGGUGCAGCAGAGCCUGUACGUCACCGUCGAAUCGUGUGUGGUGGUGCUCGAGUACACGAACGACGUGAGCAUGCUCCUGCGCAGCAUGGCCGACCUGCAGACCUUUACCCGGCUGUGCAUCCGUCAGCUUAACAACCACCUCAGCCGCAUCUUCUACGCCUUUCGCAAGCGUCUUUUAGAGGUCAGCGUGCCUGACGUGGUGCUGCUUUCCAUUCUCAAGACACUUGAGAUCAUCCUGCAGGCACUGGCGAAAGACGAAAAGACCAUCUUGCAGUACCAGGACGACGUGCUAGAGCUCUACGACCCGGUUGUGGAGAUACUGAAGCAGUCGCCGUCGCCGACGCUGAGCCAUGCUGCCAUCAACGUUCUCGUGUACGUACACGAAAUGUGCAUCCCGAGCGCCUCGACGGAUCUGCGUAAGCAGCAGGAGCUGAUCACCGCGCUGACACACGUCUACACCAGCAGCACCUGCACUGUGAACGAAUCUCUGAGUAUGCUGACGCUGUUUGGCCAGCUUGGCGCCAUCGACCCCUCCGCACAGUCCGUUGCGACAACCGCAAAGAAGAAGGAGGAGGCCGUCAUCCAGGAUGAGGCUGACCUGGAGCUCACCUACGACUACACGGUGAUUGUGUACCGCACGCUGAGUCGCAUGCUGGACGCGUCACUCUCCGAUGCCGUCUGCUCUCAGGCUCUGCGCACCCUGCUCCAGUUCAUCCGCUUCACUCAAGACAAGAAGGACCUCGUCGGCGGCGUCCACGCCGUUCGGGCGGUGCUGCAGAUCACAAAGCGCGUGACGGACAGCCCGGCCCUGCGGGUGGAGGCGCUGCAUGUACUGGCGGCCGUUACCGCCAUGCGGCAUGAGCGUAUUGUACGGCUCAUGUUGCCUGAAAUCGUGGUCCUGCUGGAGCAGCUGUGGACCCCGAAAGACCGCCUCCUCUUCCGCGCUGUCCUGGAGGUGGUGAGCGCGCUCAAGCCCGGCAAGCUGUCCGGCAAGGAGCAGUCGGAGUCGUGGGCGUGGCUGUAUCCGCGGCUGGUGGACGUGGCGCUGCAGGACCGCACCGAGUCGCGCGAGUUCUGCCUCCGCGUUGUGGAGAUUGUGCUGAAUGCCAGCUACAUUCCGCCGCACUGCAUCCCCGUUGUGUUUCCGAUGCUACUUCAGUUCCUGCAGCAAUCAGACCAGCUGGUGGAUGUGCGCAGCCAGUCCCUGUGCGCCGCCGUGCACAUCGUGUGCGAGCUGAAGGCGGUGCAGUUCUUUUCGUCGCUCCUGCACGGCAUCUGCACCCUCACGCGGCACUGCGAGCUGAACGAAGAUCUCGGCCCGCGCAUCUCCACCCCAGGGGUGCGGGAGUCACUCAAGGUCUUGGCGGCACUGCACCCCAGCGGCCGCAGCACGAUCAAGAUGUUGCGUGACCGCAUCGGCGAGGGGGAUGAGCGCAUGACGAACCCGACCGGGUCCUCCAUAUUCAACACCAUGGGCCUGCCAGCGACUAGUGUCACGAGUCUCGCCGGCGGCGGCUCCACCUCCUCGAUGCUUGUCAUGGGGCCAGCGACUGGUAACGCCAGCGGCGGGCAGGGUGGCGGACUGGGAGUAGCAAAUCCAGCGAAUUCAGGGAUUGGUCCGCUAGUCAAUAUCGGCGGCUUUGGCGCCUCUACCGCUGGUGGCGGCGCAGCAGCAGCGGGCGGGGCGGCUGGUGGUGGGUCGUACCUGCGGCUCACAAACGUGUCUGAGACCUUUGCAGGGGCUGAGGAAGAGGACGUAGGGCUGACCCUCAGCGCAGACACGGCAGGCCAGGAAGUCGACCUCUUCAUGAAGCAUGUGGAACUUGGCUUCCGCCUCAAGGAGAACAAGUUGCGCGAGUGGUUCGCCGAGUUCCAGAAAUACAUCAUUCUCAUCUCCCCACACCCGGCGUUCCGCAUGAUGGUGGACCUGCUUGACAAGCAUGAACCCCUUCGCCGCGGGCUCUUCUUGCCUUCGUUCAAGUGCCUCUACGAGUCCCUGUCGGCUGACCAAAUCAAGAAGCUGAACGAGAUGCUGACCCUCGUGCUGAACUGUUCUGAUCACGAGCUGUCGAGCAAGUGUCUCGGGCUUGCUGACUACCUCGACCAUAACGAGCCGAACGUGAAGCCAGAGGUGCUGGAGGUGGUGCGGUCGAUGCGGCGAGUCGACUAUCAUCGCGUCAGUCACCCCUCCGAGAACGGGUCGCUUCUUCUGCGCAGCACGGAGAGUAGCACGAACAACGUCGUCUCUCUGCGCACCCGCAGCUCCGCGUCAGCAGGGCUUCCGAAGGCGGAGUUCUCUACUUCCAGUGACGCUCCCAUCGAUGUGCUGCCCAUGGCAAAGGUGCGCGGACGGAAGGCGCCGGUUUUCCAGCGCUCAAACAGCAGUGCCGGGGUAGCAGGCGAUGAGUCCGGGACGGCAGGUGCCGAAGCCAGCAGUGGUGCCUCAACGGCACUUGCCAGCCCCAAAAAUAGCGCAAACGGUCGCCGCAGCGCUUCUCGCCGCGAUGUGGAGAUGUACGAGUUCACCUCCUUUGACGGCAACGAGAAUGGCGCCACCGAGUCUGGACGGCAGCAGUCGCAGCCCAUCGCCUUGCCGACGUCGGAGACACCGGCCCAGGAAGAGGAGGCGGAGCGGCGCAGCUGCUCGCCCGUGGACACGCUCGAUGGGGCAGAGAGCGAGAACAAGGCGGAGGACGUGGUGGCCCCCGUCAGCACCGACCAUCCGUCGGUUGGAGUGCUAGGCGCGGCGGGAGUGCAUGUCAUGGGAAGCUACAGGCCCCUUGUGAACUCCGUCGUACGUCGUUGCGACUCGAACGCGCCGCAGCAGUCCGGGGUGACCAGCCAGUUUCACAUCAUCAGCACCGCUAGCACUCACAGUAACGACCUCAGCAGCGACAGCCGUGACGGUGAUCUGCCGCCGGCCGGGGCCCACAUCCCGGCGCAGCCAAACAUGCUCUUCUCGACGGAGGACAUCGUCCGCGCUGCAGAGAGAACCCGUAUGUACGACAAGGCACUCAGCUAUCUGGAAAACCGUCUUCUGGCCAUGCUCAACCUCUACCGGUACACGAAGAUGCCACGAGAGGUGAUCCACAAGACGGUGUGGCCGCUGGCAUGGCUCUACAGCCAGCGUGAAAUGCAGGACUCCGUCGUAGGACUCUUCCGCGCUAUCCGCUACGAAGGCGGCGAGGACCAAGCAGGCUUCGGCUACGAGCUGCUCUGCUGGUGGAGUAAGGCGCAGAACACGUACGCCAAGUCCAUCACGCAGCAGGCGAUGCGCGAUAUGACGGUGCCGCCGCACAUUCUUGAAGGCUACGUGCGCACCCUCACCCUGUGCGGUGAGUGGAGCCGGGCCUAUGACGUGGCCAUGCAGGUCUGUUCACGGCCGGAGGCGUACGUUUCCUCGACGGUCGCGCGCUGCGGUGCAACGGCCGCGUGGCUGCUCGGGCGGUGGGAUGACGUGCAACACCUCGCGGAGCGGCUCUCCAUGUCGGAGCAGCACACCACGGCGCUCCGUCUUUUCUUUCUCAACGGCGUGGCGCUGAAGAGCGCCAUUACGGAGCACAGCAGCGCCGCCUACGAGAACCUGCGACACAUGAUCACACAGUCGAAGCUCGUGAUUGACGAGAGCCUGCGCACUCUUCUCCCGCUCAGCUACACGCAUGCCUACGAGAGUCUGACAAUGCUGCAGCACUUCACGGAGAUGGAGGAGACUAUCGACUACUGCCACUGCCGCUCUACCAAGGGUCGCCAGCAGAUCUACGAGCGGUGGAACAACCGGUUCCGCUCUCUGAAUCCGGAUUCCCUGCAGCCAAGCCUGCUCUCGCUGAUGCUGCACUCGCUCGUGCUCAGCACAGGCGAGAUGGCGGACAUGAUUCUGCACUUCUGUGAGACGCGGCAGUCGAGCCACCCGCAGCUGGCGGAGUGGGCCAUGAGCUGGCUUCGACACGGCUCCUUCAGCGGGCGCAGCAGCAACCUCUGUAGCCCGAGUGCGGCAUCGCCGGCGUCACCGGGGCCCGUGGAGGGCAUCACGGUGGCGACGCUGUCAUCGGUGGACAAGAAUCCAAAGGUGGCUGUCGGCUUCAUCACGCAUCUGUGGAGCCAAGGAAAGCGGCAGGCCGCUGUUGAGUCCAUGGAGAUGUUUCUGCGCGACUGCGGCAAGGACCUGGAGGAGAACAACGCCACCUGCUACGGCGACGCGCAGCUGCGGCUCGGCACGUGGAAACAGGAGCUGCACGCCGACUCCUUCUGGGAGCGCGGCUUCCGGGACGAGGAGCUGGGCCAUUUUCACAAGGCUAUCCGUGCCGUCCCGUCGAGCUACGAGGCGUGGCACAGCUGGGGCCUCAUGAACUACCGUAUCCAGCAGCGCGACCACAACCUCUCCCCCGAGGACCAGCGCACCUUUGUGGAGGCGGCGCAUCAGGGCUUUGUUGGCGCCAUAUGCCGCUGCAAAGACUCCUCCGAGGCGCUGCCGGCCGUCAUGCGUCUGCUGCAGCUGUGGGUCAUCCACAACGGAGUGGAGCUGCUGAAGGAGACGGUGGCCGACAGUAUCUCGCGCAUCCCGAUCGACCACUGGGUGCAGACCAUUCCGCAGCUGAUCGGCCACCUCAGCAGCGACAGCCACGACAUCCGCGAAGUCAUUGGCAUGAUCCUGCGCUCGCUCUGCGAGGUGCACCCACAGGCCACCGUCUUUCCGCUCCUCGUCGUGAUGAUGUCGGACGCCAGCACCAGCGGCAGCAAUCACAACGCCCUCAACAGCAACGGAGAUGAGAGUAAUAUAGUGUCGGGUGCGUCCGCCAUGUCCGAUAGCUCGAAUCCGCUGGCGCGGAAGCAGGAGAUUGUGCAAGGCAUCAUCCAGCACUGCCCGAAGCGCAUCUUCCACGAGGCCGAGGCGGUGGCAAAGCUGCUUGUGGACGUGUCCGCCAUUCCCAUCGAGAAGAUUCGCGAGAACCUGAGCCAGGUCGCUGCUGCGUGGAACCCAAACGCCGAGUACGAGGAGGACCCGGAGGAAGUGUACCGCCGCCUGCAGAACACACUCGACAUCUUCCACGCCAACCGGCGCCACCUUCUCUUCACCGUCGGUGACAUUGGUCAGUUUGUGCAGAUGGUCAUGGAGGACGACCGCAACGGACAGCGAGAGAAGGCGGCGGGCGUCGUCAGCCAACUCAUCGAAGAGAUCUCGAAGCAUGUGGCGGAGAAGCUGGGCCGUGAGCCUCAGAAGGCGAUGGAGCCGCUGCUGCAUCUGCGUAAUCUGUCCGUCGCGGUAUUCGGGGAGUACGACGGUCACUGCCGCGACCAUUACCCGACUAUCGCAUCCUUUAGCUCCAAGCUGGACGUCAUCCCGUCGAAGAAGCGGCCGCGCCGCAUCCAGCUCAACGGCUCGGACGGCUGUCUCUACACAUACUGCCUAAAGGGCAACGAGGACAUUCGCAUGGACGAGCGUGUCAUGCAGCUGCUUGGAAUGGUGAACGUCCUACUGAGCCACACCCGUAUCUCAAGCAGCGCCUACAUCCACCGCUUCCCUGUCAUCCCGAUCAGCUCCAACGUGGGGCUUCUUGGCUGGGUGGAGAACGCGAAUACAAUCAACAACACCAUCUGCAACUACCGUACCAACAUCUCGAACGUGCGCACGCAUCAGGAGUCGAGUGUGCUGCGCGCCUACGUAGGGUCGUUUGGCAACUGGGACAAGCUCAGCCUCAUUCAGCGCACGGAGAUACUCGACUUUGUGAUGCAGAGCGAGCACUGCGAAGCCGUUGACGUUUCUCGAGCAAUGUGGCACCGCGCCAACACGGCGGAGCAGUGGCUUGACCGCCGAACUGCCUUUACAGUAUCCUUGGCGACCAUGUCCAUGGUGGGCUACGUGCUCGGCCUCGGCGAUCGGCAUCUCGGCAACAUCCUCAUCUCUAUGUCCUCUGGCAAGAUUGUGCACAUUGACUUUGGAGACAGCUUCGAUGUCGGUCGGCUACGCCACGUUCUGCCGGAGACGAUCCCGUUCCGCCUCACGCGCAUGCUGACGAAUGCGAUGGAGGUCUUCGGCGUGGACGGCGUCUUCCGCGCCUCCGCAACGCGGACGCAGACGACGCUGCACAAGAACCGUGAUAGCAUCAUGGCCCUGCUCUCCGCCUUCGUCCACGACCCGAUUGUGCAGUACAAGGGCAAGAUGAAGAACAUCAUGGAGAAGAGCCGGUCGCCGCAGGACAUUGCAGAGCGCAUUCGUAACAAGCUGCGCGGGAUGGAGAUGGCGAUUGACCACAGCAAGGUGAACAUCUUUAACACGACGCAAGACAGCUGCCGCCGGCCAGACCUCCUGUACAUGUCGACCGCCUUCGAUGAUACUGCCGUGCGGACACAGUCGUUGGCGAUGACGCCGGAGGAGCAGGUUAGCUUCUUGAUUGACGAGGCGACGCGCAUCGACAACUACACGACGAUGUACUUCGGCUGGGGCCCGCUGUGGUAGUGGCACCCGAAAAGAUUAAAAAUCGCGUCCGCCUUCUCUCUAACGCGUCCACUCUUUCUGCAGUUUGCUGUGUUGAGUUUUUGAUUUUUCUGUGUGUGUGUGUACGCGUCCUCGGUAAUGUCCGGGACGCCACCUUUGUUCUCCUGAGGUGGGGGAGGAGAGAGAGGGAGUUGUUGAUCGUCUCUUCAAUCCUCCUCUGUGCGUGUGUUUGUGUGUGUGUGUGUGUGCACAGCCCCUGUGAAGGCAGAUUCAACCUUGCCUCCAUUGCUCGUACACCCCUCUAUGUCUCCUUUUCGAUCGCUUCCUCGCCAUAGCCCCCUCCCCUCUCUCUCUCUCUGCGUGUUUUGUCGAGAAUGUGCUUCGCAUGUGUGUGCAACAUGCCUCUUUUCUUCCCUGAUUUUUUUGUUCGUCUGUCCCUCCCUCGCCACCCCGCCCCACUCCUCCUUUCUCGAGAGUAUGCGUGCACACUUGUGCGUGUAUGGCGGUAGAACACAAUCCAUCCUCUGCUCUUGUCUUCAUAUUGGUAUUUUGUGUAUUUGUGUGCGGCUGGGGGUCGUUUGAACCUGUGAAUGCAUUGUAUGUUUGCGGAAGCGUGCCUCCACAUGACUAUCUUCGUGCACGAGUGUGCGUAUGUGUGUGUGUGUGUGUUUCUCCCUUCCUCCUCUUGUGUGGCCACCACCACUACUCCCUAUCCACCACCUCUUCUCUUUAGAUAACAACGCUCUUUCUUUCUGGGGACUCCCUCUCUCUCUCCCCCACCCUUGAUGCGUUGCGUCGCUGGAUCGCUGAGCUGAGGAGGAGGAAGCAAGGCAAGGCAAGGUAAGCAAACAAGAGAGCGAAAAGAAAAAUCACCCGCCCCCCCCCCUGGCCCCGCAUCAUCAUGGCCAUCGUCACUGCUGUCACCUACCACCCCAUCAGUACCCAAUAAGAACCGCGAAAAGGGAGGGAGGGAGGACAAAGAACAAACGAAAAAUAAAACGAAGAAGCAACAAAAAAAAAUGACGUUCUAAAAACGCUAAGCAAUAAAAUGAACUACCGCCCCCCCCCCCAUCCUCUUUCCCGUUUUCUAUGUCUGUGUCUGUGUCUGUGCCUGUGUGUGUGGGGGGGGUUCUUCCUUUUUUUUUUUCGUUCUUUGCUCAUCCCAAAAUUACGUUAAACAGGGAAUACACACACAUGCAUACAUACACAUACACACACAUAGAGAGGGAGGGGGACAUAGACAUACAGAUACAAACAGCCAAGACGGACAGAUGGAGGGGGGGGAUGGACACACACGUAUGUACGGUAUACAUGUACAUCGAGGCGUAAGGGGCACACCACGGAAGGCAGCCCACCUCCACCCCAUUACCCUUUUUUUUGCUCUCCUCACAUUCAUGCACGCAAGCUAGUGUGUAUAUGUGUGUGUGUGUGUGCGUGUGUCACUCCCUCCGCGCUUUCUGCCUGCACCCUCUCCCUCCCUCCCGUCCCACACACCCCGACCCCCACCCCCAACAAAAGUUCGACUCCCUCUUUGCCGCCCAUUGCUCUGCGUGUAUGUACUUUAUGCGUCCCUUUUUCUGCUGCGCCCAACUCCCUCCCUCUCUCCCUCCACGGACCAUUCUAUAGCGGCUCUUCUUUUCUCGCUCGUCGUGUGUGUGUGUGUGUGUGAGGCUCUAUGCGUUUUUUUUUUGCUCUUGUGCUGUCCCCCCCCACUCCCUUCGUAUCUUCGCGGUUGUUGUUGAUUGGUCGGUCUGCGUCUUUUCCUUUUGUGUUGCGUGUCUGCGUGUGUCUGUCACCUGCCUUGCUCACUGUCCCUUGUCCUCUCCAACAACGAGAGAACACCACUCCCUUGCUUAGCAAAUAAACAAGCG
RNAcentral lists this unclassified non-coding RNA (12597 nucleotides) under Leishmania donovani. RNAcentral describes it as "gene:LdHU3.20.1410(CDS-product:phosphatidylinosit ol_3-kinase_putative)". The record is from RNAcentral. Lineage: Eukaryota; Euglenozoa; Kinetoplastea; Trypanosomatida; Trypanosomatidae.